AGUUUCGAAGGAAGACAAUUCAAGUUCAGCAAUCAGGCGCCCACCUAGAGAAUAAGGGAAAACGCUUCAAGUUUCGAAGGAAGACAGUUCAAGUUUUGGCAAUCAGACACCCACCUGAAAAAUAAGGGAAUUCACUUUAGAAUGAAAUUCAAGUCAGCAACAAAAGAAGCUCGUGGCAAUAAUGCGAGUCAACAGUCAGAGAUGAUUAACGGAAGUUAGUCACAAUCCAGAAUAAAAAAAAAGAAAGGCAAGAAGUGAAUCCAAAUGCAGAAGUUGAUGAAAGAUGUGAGCUGCUCAAGACAUGACUGAAGUCACAAGCAUGGUAUGCCCGGUAUUGAUCCGAAAAGAUGAAGAAGAAUGAACUAGCACCUGCAACUAGCAAGCGUCAAGGUUCAAAUCCAAAAUCCGCAUGAAUAACCAUUCAAGACUCAAGAUCAAGCUUCAGGAAACUUAUAGAUAGGAAUUUUGUAACUCAUAGUUGACAUGAUUAGUUAAUCUUUUUCAUUUUUUGAUUUUUGAUGUAAUAAUAGGACCGCAGACCAGAACCUCGAUGGAAUGACACCUCGAUCGGCUCUCCACCUCGGUAUACUCCAUCAUCUCACUUACUUCUGAACUACACGUGGCCUGAUUCCUUUAUAGCCAAGGAUAUGUAGGCAGCUCAGAUACCAGGGCUCGGUCACAUUCUCCUUCCUCUCAGUUUUUGGUCUCCCUAAAUAAGGGUCGGGUCAAAAAACCUGUCUAGUUGUUCUUUGUCUAAAAAUACUUCGUGUUUCCAGUCAAAGAGGGGCAGCUGUAGACAUGUGAUUUUUGACCCUCCCCAAGAUUUUUCAUAUUUUAGCAUGUAAAUAUUUAAUUUAUGCCUAAUAUCGAUAUCUCAACUAAUUUUGACUCUUUUACUUUAUUUUAUUACAAGAAAAUGAAAAUUACAAAAAAAAAAUAGUUUCAUUAAUGCUUUGUAGUCAUUUUUAAUCUUGAAAAAUACCAAAAAUAGUUUUGUUUUAACAGUCAGUCUUAUUUUAAUAGUUAUUUUACUUACGUUGAAUUAAUUAAUAAAUGAGAUCGUACUUUUAAUCUCGUUCGUGGGGAAAUAAUAAAAUUUGGGCUCAAACGACCCAUUUUUAGGCCUAAUUUUCGGAUCUAGCCCAUAAUUCCCAAGCCCAUAAUUCCUAGGCCCAUACCCCUUAACCUAAAUAUAGAACUAAAACCCUAAGCCUAUAAAAAAGAUCUAAAAAAAAUAAGAAACAAAUCAGCCGCAAACCUAAAGUCCAUAAGUGAAAAUACAAAAAAAAGCCUAAGACUCUCAAGACCAAAAUCAGACUUAGGGGCAAAUGAGAUCAGCGCCGUUUUUACAAGACCCCUAAAACCUAUACACACAGGAGAAUUAGCGCCGUUUGAACAAAAAGAGACGACCAACCCCCCAUCACCACCUUUCUUCGAUCUUGAGAACAAAAAAAUCCCUCACCCUUCCACCGUCAAACACACCUAGAACUCCUCCAUAAUAGCUCCAACCUAACAAUGGUACAGACACAAUUAGCGACCUUCGCUGACUCCCCCCCCCCUCCCCUUUUUCGUCGCCUGAGACAACAACAAAAACAGAUCUAAGAAGGAUGGACGAAGGAGACGAGUACAACGACAACGUAUAAGGAGAUUCGAAGUUUGAUUUCGGAUUCAAAGCCUACUGAUUUUCGUUCCAUAGUUUCUCUCGCUUUUCUGCUUUCGAUUCUAAAAGCCAUGGAAUCCGAUGGAGCUUUGAUUGAGGCUUGAUACGCCGUUGAUUUGAGGGUUGUCGUUUGUGGUGGAAGUUCGUGGUUUCUGCUGGUUUUUAGCCGCUGAUUUCGCUCGAAUUUAGAGUCGAAACUUGGUACUCGACAAUUCUUCUACCAAUAUUAAGGAAGUCUUUGUUUAAACAGGUUCUUCUCAUCAUUAAUUCAUCUUCUUCCAUUUUCAGGUUGUGAAUAUAGGUACCCAAGAGCUAGGUUAAGAUGAGUUUUCUUUUACAUGUGUUUAUGUGGUGAUAUAAUUGUUAUGGUGCAUUUAUGAGUUAAUUUCCAGUCGUUUGAUUUUUCCGAAUCUGAUUUCCCUCGGUUUAAUUAGCUUCUUGUAUUCUAUCACUGUUGGUAUAAUACAAUGUAAAAAUGUUAAGGGAAGAUGUUGAGUCAACAGUCAACAACACAUCUGAUUCUUCUUGGCUUAAGUAAACUUCGAUAAUGUUGAGUCACGAACCAUAGAAAUUUGUUAUAAGUCGUUCACUAACUUAUUGAAAAACAUAGAGUGCAAUUGAUCUUUUCUUGAAGGAUAAACUUGUUUUUUUAGUUAUGAUGGCAUACGUUUACAUGAUCUUUAAGAUUUCCAAGGAGUAAUAGAACAUCCCAAUGUCCAAAAUCACGAAAGCCCGUAUGAGAAUAACCUUGAAUUUAGUAGUUCGUUUUAGGCACAUAAUUAAAUCAUCACAACUGCGGGUAUGGUUCCCAUGGCGUAGUCGUAGCACUUAAUUUCAAAUUAGUUAAUUGCUUUUCCUUUAAUAAAAUUGAGGUGUGCUAUCCAAUCACUUAGUCUAUGGCCAUCACAUCGAUAUCUUAAUUAGUGUAGAAAAUGCCUUGAACUCUCGUAGUUUGCUUUAUGCGUGUUUAAUUAUAUAAAUUGUCAUAGCUACGAGUACGAUUCCCGUGACGUAGUUGUGAUGCUUUAAUUUCUAAAAUCCGGGGGUACAUUUAUGUGACCCGGCCACAAUUCAAUCUUGUUUAUAAAAUAAACAUGUUGUGGAUCGUGGGUAUGGUUCCCGUGACACGAUUCGUGACGUGUAACUAAAUAAUUAGUUGUAUAACAAUUGGAUUAUUAAAAUCGGGUAAAAAGGAAUAAAAUGUACAUAGGUUUCNNNNNNNNNNNNNNNNNNNNNNNNNNNNNNNNNNNNNNNNNNNNNNNNNNNNNNNNNNNNNNNNNNNNNNNNNNNNNNNNNNNNNNNNNNNNNNNNNNNNNNNNNNNNNNNNNNNNNNNNNNNNNNNNNNNNNNNNNNNNNNNNNNNNNNNNNNNNNNNNNNNNNNNNNNNNNNNNNNNNNNNNNNNNNNNNNNNNNNNNNNNNNNNNNNNNNNNNNNNNNNNNNNNNNNNNNNNNNNNNNNNNNNNNNNNNNNNNNNNNNNNNNNNNNNNNNNNNNNNNNNNNNNNNNNNNNNNNNNNNNNNNNNNNNNNNNNNNNNNNNNNNNNNNNNNNNNNNNNNNNNNNNNNNNNNNNNNNNNNNNNNNNNNNNNNNNNNNNNNNNNNNNNNNNNNNNNNNNNNNNNNNNNNNNNNNNNNNNNNNNNNNNNNNNNNNNNNNNNNNNNNNNNNNNNNNNNNNNNNNNNNNNNNNNNNNNNNNNNNNNNNNNNNNNNNNNNNNNNNNNNNNNNNNNNNNNNNNNAACACCUUCUCUCGGGUUAACAAAAUUCCUUAUCCGGUUUUUUUGUUCGCGGACUGUAAAACAGAGUCAAUCUUUCCUCGAUUCGGGAUUUAAACCGGUGACUUGGGACACCAUAAAUUAUCCCUCUAAAUUUUAAAUAAAAUAAUCUCGUUUCGAUUGUCACUUAAAUUGGAAAGAACUCCCUUAUAUACCCUACCGGGGGUAGUAAAAAGGAGGUGUGACAUCAACUUGAUGCUCUACUCAGUGUUCAAAACUUUGAGAAUUGGGCAACCAAGACCCACAUCCAUGAGGUUGCAAAUGGCGGAUCGUACUAUGAAUAGACCAUUGGGUAUUAUUGAUGAUGUGUUGGUUCGUGUUGACAAGUUCAUCCUCCCGACGGACUUUGUUAUUCUUGAUUGCGAAGUAGACUAUAAGGUGCCUAUUAUUUUGGGUAGACUUUUCCUUGCUACAGAGAAGGGUCUUGCUGAUGUGAAAUCCGGUGAGCUCAUUUUUCGGGUGGGUGAUGAAAAGGCGGUCUUCCAUGUGUGCAAAUCUAUGAGGCAACCGAAUAACAAUGAUGUUUGUUCGUUCGUAGAUUUGGUGAUCGAUGUGAUUAUUGAUGAUGCUAGUGCCAUAAUGAAUGUUGAGGAUAAUUUGGAAGUUGUUUUGCUCAACCUUGAUGAUGAUAAGGACAAAGAAGGCUAUGUGGAGUAUGUGAAUGCAUAGCAAGGAAUAGGGUUGUACACUUAUGAGCCCCCAAGCUAUCUUUGGAUCUUGAAAAUAGGAAGACUCCUCCAACAAAGCUCUCAAUCGAGGAGCCUCCUACUAAUAAGUCGGUAUUUUACCAACUUAUCUCUUCUUAAUACUUAGGCUUUUGUAUGAUUUUGAUGAUAAACUAAGGCAUUUUAUGAGGUUUAUUGGCAUAUUUCAAGUAUCAUAUAAUUUGUAGAAGAUACGGAAGGGAACAAGUCAAAAUGUGUUAAAUUGGAAUAAAUGGACUGCUGUCAGUUAUUGCUCUAUGCGAUCGCGGAGUGUUAGAUGCGAUCGCAUAAGUCUAGAAUAAGGAAGCUAUGCGAACGCGAUUUAGUCCAUGUGAACGUGUAGAGUUAAAGUUGGCCAGCAUUGGUCAACUACACUAUGAUAACGCGCAGAAGCUGCUGACCACGAUCGCGGUUCUCUCUGUGCGAUCGCAUAGAACAUUUUCUGGGCAGUUCUGGGCGGAAAUGAAAUUUCACAUUUUUGAUCCCCAAAUGAUUUAAUACACGACUUAGCUCAUUUGUAAAGGAUCUUUGGCUUAUUUUCAGUCCUUAGACUAGAGAAGAACAAGUUUUGGAAGCUAGGGUUCUUGCACACACACUUGGGUCUUGAAGAUUUGAAGCUUUUGGUUGAGAAUUGCUUACCCACUCAUGUUCAUUUCUUCAUUUUCUUGCUUUGUAUUAUUUAUCUGAGUGUGUACUAUGUUUUCCAACACUUGAAUCUUGUUUAUGAGAAUAUUUAUUUUUAAAGUAUGGAUUAAAUAGCUUGUUGUGCUUAUGUAUUGAACGAUUUUUAUCUUUUAUGAAGUGAGUUAUUAUUUCUUUAAUUAUUCUUGUUGUUUAAUGUUUCCAAAAGGAUUAGCUAACCCUAUGAAUCGCCCAUUAACUUCGAAUUAAUUUUGAGAAAGAUUAUUUGGGGUUGAGAAAGAUUAAUUAAUAAGAACUUGAGGCUUUAACCCUCAAUUUAUAGAUUCUACCAAGGGAUAGGAUUGAACUACUCGUAGCCAUAAUCAAGUGUGCUUAAUAUCCUAAUUGUUUUAGGGAUAAUUCAACUAGAAAGUCUUGUUAGUCUUUGGAAGAAGCUAAUAUAGAAUUAUUAUCCAAGGCUAAUUAACAUAAACUCACUCAUAUUUGUAAAACCGUGAAAUACAUUGGAUCGUUAUUUGAGUGUAAUUCCCCGUGUAUCCAUACUUAUAGCCAUUGAUCAUUUUACUUGCUUUCUAGGUUAGUUUACAUUUUUGCAUUUAGCUAUAAUAUUUUCACAAUCACCCUUUUUAGAGAUUGACAUUGCAUAACAAGUGAUAAUUUUCUUACACUCCUAAUCGUCUACAUAUUGUUCUCUGAGGGAUUCGACCCCGACUCAUAGUUGGGUAAAUUAUAUUGCAUGUGAUAGUGUCCAUUUACUUUUUAGUACUGGAUUUGGACGUUAUCAAAAUUGGCACCAUUACCGGGGAAUAAUUUGGCAUAUUUAGGUUGUUUGAGAAAUAAGCGUAAAUGCUUUGGUCCAAACUUGUGAAUAUUUUGUAUAAUUAUCUUUCUUAGCUUGGUCUAUUUUUCUUGUUUGUUUCUUGUUUAUUUUUUUAGUUUUUGAAAAAUGGCAUCAUAUAAUAAAAAUUGAUUGGAUGGUAGUUGUUCAUACUUCGAUGAUCCUUCUCCUUAUUGUGGAGGACCACACUCGUGGCAAAAUUGUUUAAAUUCUCCCAGGAUCGGAUUGUGCGCACAAUAUCAAACCCAUGAGUGGAGUAUUUGUGAUAAGUGUGGUGGUCAAAAUGGUUACUGGGAUAAUUGUGCUUAUUUAUCCUUCCCUUCCCCAAUCCCCUGCUAUGAUGAUUCUACUUUUUGUGAUGAAAUUUAUAGGGAUAUGGAGGUGGAAGAUAUUGAGCAUGGUCAAAAUAGAGAGUUCAAGCUCAUAUUAGAAUGCUUAAUUGAAUGAGUAAACACAGAGCAAAGUGCUUUGGGGGAGCUUUUGGAAAAUAGCCUCCAAAAUAAUUUGGCGCUUGAAAGGUUGCACUCACAAAUGGGAAAAAUGCUUGAAGCUUUAGAGCUCCAAAAAGCCUCGGAACAGAAUGAUAACCAAGAAUCUUCUUUAGAGGUUGAAGCCGAAAAUUCUUCUUUGGCACUUGACCAAAACCAAGAAGAACUCUCAAAUGCUCAAAAUGAGAAGAUGAUGCUCAUGUUGGAGGCCAUUCUUGAAAAUGAGGAGAAGCACAACUUUGCACUCGAGGACUUGAAGCAAGUCUUGACUCAAAAUGAUGAGGAUAUCCGGACUUUGGAAGGUCAAAUAAAAAUAUUGGUUGAGGCUCACUAUGCCCACCAACUUGAGAGUGUGGAAAGAAGUUAAGAAAUGUCCGAUUUCGAGGAAGAAAGUGAGCUUUAUUUUGAGGAAUCAAGAAUUGGAACAUCCGCCAACCGACUCCAUACUUGUUAGUGAUGCCGAGAAAAAUAUGGAAUUAGAGUCAACUAGUGUAACUGGAAAUAUGGUUCAGAUUGACUCUAGUCCGGGGGAAAAAAGGAUGUCAAAAUCCGGGAGGAAUUGCAAUUUGGAGGGUUGAUGUCAUAUUCCAAGCAUUUUUCAACAUUGGAAUUAUAUGAUAAUAUGGGAAUUGAACUACAUGAGUCAAUGAGGGAUUGCGAGGAGGAAAGACAAAUGACAUACAUCUUACAAUUUGAGGGAACAAGAAGGCAAAAUGACAUUCCUCAUAUGAAAGCCAAGAAAUGCAAGAUGAAGAAAUUAAAGUUUGGUUCGAUCAUCAACUUACCACCCCCCAUUGCUCGUGGUCACAAGUUUGAUUCCAAGUUAGGUGCCUAAUUCAUAUCGUCCAUGUGGCGAGAAAAGUGGUAAAGUUGAUCCGCGUCGUGCCACGACGUUAAAUGCGACACUUGGUGGGAGGCAACCUAACAUUUUUAAAUUUUUUAGUCAUUUUUAAUUUUUUUUUAGAAUAACUUAGUAUAUUAUUUUUGACUAAUCUGCCAAGUUUUAGAAUUUUUAGAGUUGUUUUGAGCAGGUUGCAUGAUCCGGACAGCCUAAAAGCAGUAGUUGAACAAAACUACAAAAAAUGCGGUGCUACGCGAUGGCGCAUGUGAAUCCGCAUUCGCACAACAUUAGGUUUUAGCUACCUCUAUGCGGUCACGUAGAAAGUCACACAAUCGCGGAAAUUUGGGAGCUGUUGCUCUCCGCGAUCGCUGUCACACCUCCUUUUUACACCCGAAGGGGUAUAUAAGGGAGUUUUUCCAAUUAAAUGACAUAAUUCGAAAUGAAAUUAUUUUAUUUAUUUCAGAGUUGCCACUUGAAAUAGUUUAUUUGGUGUCCCAAGUCACCGGUUUAUUGUAAAUCCCAAAUUGAGGAAAAUUUAACUCAGUUUAAAGUCUGCAAAACCAGAAGACCGGGUAAGGAAUUCUAUUAACCCAGGAGAAGGUGUUAGGCAUUCCCGGGUUCCGUGGUUCUAGCACGGUCGCUUAACUAUUAAUAAUUGACCUAAUUAUCUGAUUAAUUACAUAUUUUAAACCUAUUGUGUGUUUUUAACUUUAUAACCGCUUUUAAUAAUUUUUAAAACCGUUUUUAGGAUUUAUGGAUUUAUUUCUUGAACAAGUUACGAUUGCCGUACACUUCCCGUUUUGGAACACAUCGCAAACCACGCUACAUGAAAUGCACCCGCGAUUUGUGACAUGUUUAUUUUAUUAUUGUUCGAAGUUGUUAUGAUCGUGUCACAAGAAAUGCACACCCGAAUUUGGGAAUUAGGUAUCACGACUAUGCCAUAGGAACCGUACCCAUAGUCGUGAUGAUUUAAUUACGUGCCUAAAGUAAACUAUGGUGUUCAAAUUAUUUCCUAAACUAUUUUGAGAUUAUUGAGAGGCCAUAAGAGUAUGUAAGUCAUUGUGGAAGAAAUGAGGUAAAUUAAUUAUGGAAAUGUGGGCUAGUUUAUAGCCCUAUUGACGUUUGGGCUCAAUAAAAUUCAAUAAUACAAGCCCAAACUUUAACACUUUUGCCAUCCAAAAUUAUCAUGUGCACUCCUUAUCUAUUUGUGGUCCAAAUAUUUUCAUCCCCCCAAGCUCCAUCAGUCAGAAUGAAAAAUUAACAAACAAACACUAAAAUGCCUCAUCAAAAUGAAACCAUCAUGGUGACAAUUAGAAUAAAGGCAAAAAUAGGAAAUGUUUUCCACAUGAAUAAACAAAUAAGGAAAAAUAAACAAGACACUAAAAAAAAUAGGGAUCAAGUAUUCAUAAGCAAUGUACUGUAGUCACGUGCAAAUCAGAAAAGCGAGAUUAACCCGAGAAUUAAUAUAACAACUCAAAGACAUGCUCAAAUACAAAAGAACAGAUCCACACAAAAAUAAAUUUUAUCGAAGAACUAAAUCGAUUUGCUUCUGCUUCAACCAAUAUUUCUCGACAUUUGCAAGUUAAGCAGUUGGAUUAUACCACUUCACAAUAUCAGUAUUAACUUUAAAUCAUGAUAGAUCUCAAUAUUUGAGUCAUAAUUAAUCAACCAGAUUCGAACUAAGAAGACUAAGUCUCAUUAGCUAUACAUUCAUACACAUUGUAACGAUUUAUUCUAAUAUUGAAUCCAAACAAUUACAAGUAAGAAGCAGAGAGGUCUCAGAUUUGAAGACAAUUAUGUUGUUACAACUUACGGAUGACCUUCAUUAAAACCACAAACAUUACACGAAGAAGGGAAGUCAAGAGGAGUACCUGGAGCGCAAGUCUACAACUCCAAAAACCAGAUAAAAGGCAAAGAAAUCGGCUGGUUGAAGUCUAACGAAAUAGAUGCAAUGAUUAGUAGCAAAAUCAAACAACCAUUUUUAAGUUCAAAUCACUCCCUUAAAACCCAGAAUACACAAGAUAAUGAGCAAUUGAAACAACUUCAAAAUUUCCUUUGAAUCCUAGUCUUCUUAUGUUCAUUUUUCUUUUUAAUUUCUUAGAUUUUUUUUGUUUUUUUUUAUCUUCCUCUACGGCCAGUCAUGGUUGUUCUCCAUGGGGGGUGCCGAAUUUGGGCCUUUUCCGGCGAUGUAACGGCAGUGAAUGGAAGGAUAUGGAGAAGUAAAAGAGGCUGGCGGGUUCUCUUCGCUAGGGUUAGGUAUUUUGGGGGAGAGUUCAAUUUUUGGAGUCUUGGUCUGUAUCUGUUUUUUUUAGGUGUGUUGUAUAUGUGUAUUGGUGAGUGAAGAUGAGAGUGAUGAAGAAGAAGAAGCAGAGGAAACGGCGCUCAACUUUUCUGAAAGGGGAGGGGUCUUUUUUUUGAUUAGGUCUAGUUAGGUUUUUUCAAUUAAAGGGGAGGAGGGUCAGGUUGGGCUUGGUGAGUAUGGGCUGGGGUAGAUGGGUUUAAGAAUUUGGGCCACCUCUUUUGGCCCAAUUCCAUACAACCAAUUUCUUCCUUUUCCUUCUUUAUUAGAUUUUUGCAAACUCUAGCCAUUUAAAACUCAAACCUUAAUUAAAUCUAAUUUUUAUAUGGCUAACCUAUUUAUUUAUUUUUCCUAAUGAUGGAUUAAUGCAAAUAAUUAAUUAAUUAACCUAAGAAUGUAAUUUUUUACUUUUUAGUUAUUUAAAUGAUGCAUCUGACAAUAUAAUUAAUUCCUAAAUGCAAAUUAAACCUAUGAUAGCAUAAAUUUAAAAUGUGAUAAUUUUUUAUGAUUUUUCUUAUUAUUUUAAAAUAUUAUACAUGCAUGUAAUGCAACUAAAUAAAUAAAGACUCCUAAAAUCCAUUGAAAUUAUUUUUGGCCUAUUUUUAGGAGUUAUUUUCAUGUGGGGCAAAAAUUAGGUGCCCACAGCUGCCCCUCUUUGCUCGGAAGAGUUUUCGGGCAAAGAUACAGUGAGCAAAUACGAGCAAUUUUUUCCCGUUUGAAACUCCAUGGGAAGCAUUUUGAAAAAGUUUUACUGAACCUUGCUUCAGAGGUUGCCUACAUAUCUUUGGAUAUAAAGGAAUCAGGUCAGUGUAGUUCUGGAAGUUUUGGUUGCUGGGACUACCGAGUAACUGUGAUUUCACUGCUGUUGCUGCUGUUUCUGCUUGCUGAGCUCCUUAGUACACCAAAAUGAAAAAUGAAAAACUAGCUAACUAAGCCUAUCAGCUACGAGUUACAAGAUUCCUAUCUAUAAACCUUCUGAAGCUUGAUCUGGAGUCUUGGCUGGUUCUUCCUGCGGACUCUGAUCUGAAUCUUGAUGCUCGUUAGCUGUAACUACUGCUUCAUUUUUCUUCAGAUUUUCAGAUCAAGGUGGGACAUGCAAAGCUUGUGACUUCAAUCAUAUCUUGAGAAAUCCACAUCUUUUCUCUGUUUCUACACUAAGAGUUCACUUUUUUCUUAUUCUUCGUUUCUUUUAUUCUGGAUCGAGACUUAUUCUUUUGGUCGUCUCGAAACUUGUGCCUCAAGGUAAAAACCUGUUCAAGCACCAAAACAAACAAAUGAACGAAAUUUUCUGCCCCAGUUUUCACUAGGAAAAUUUCGUGAGUUAUUGUAAAAUUAAACUAUUUCUUUAUUGAAAGCAAUAAAAAUCAGGAUUGUGUAUCCUUGAGAAAAAGAGAUUAGGGAGUAGAGACCCUAUAUCUAAAAUAAAAUCAAUUGGGGAUUGGAGGCCCUAAGUUGGAAGGAUUACCAAGUUAUGCUGGCAUCAACUAAGGAAGGGAACCCUAUAUUGGAAAAGAUUACCAGAUUAUGCUGGCGUUAGCUAGGGAGUGGAACUCUGUGUUGGAAAAAAUUACCAGGUUAUACUGGCAUCAACUAAGAAUUGGAACCCUAUGUUGGAAAAGAUUAACAGGUUAUGUUAGCAAAGUCAUUGGGUUAUGCCGGGAAAGUCAUCGGGUUAUGCUGGAAAAGUCAUCGGGUUAUGCCGGGAAAGUCAUCGGGUUAUGCCGAAAAAGUCCUCGGGUUAUGCUGGGAAAGUCAUCGGGUUAUGCUGGGAAAGUCAUCGGGUUAUGCCGGAAAGGUCCUGGGGUUAUGCCGGGAAAGUCAUCGAGUUAUGCCAGAAAAGUCAUCGGGUUAUGCCGGGAAAGUCAUCGAGUUAUGCCGGAAAAGUCAUCGGGUUAUACCGGAAAAGUCCUCGAGUUAUGCCGGAAAAGUCCUCGGGUUAUGCCGGAAUUAACUAGGGAGUGAGACCGUAUGUUGGAAAUGAUUACCAUGUUAUGCUCGAAUCGACUAGGGAAUGGGUCCCUAUGUUGGAAAAGAUGUAGCUAGAGAUUGUAGACCCUAUGCUACCAUGAUUUGAAUUUUUCUUCUUCUUUUUUUCAUUCAUUUUUUAAAGAAAAUGAAUAAAAUGCAGGAAAGAAUUUGGAGGAGACUUCCCUUUUGGAUUGAUUAUUGCUGUAGAGCUGUUUCUAGCCCUUGUGCAGUUUCCUUUUGUUGCACCUACGUCUUGCAAAGUUGCUUUUGGAUGGCACCUGUUUCCUGUGUUUUUUUUCAAACAAAGAUCAAUUUGUCAGUUUGAAACGGUAAUUGGUUUUGUGGCCUUGAUUAUUUCAAUCACUUGAUCUCGGCUCGGCUUCUUUGAUGAAGAUCUCAAUUGCAACUGCUUGUUCCCUGAGGACCGAUUUUAUUUGUGGCCCUGAAGAACCUCUGGCUUUUGCAGACUUUGCCAUGAUGGUUGGUCACGUUUGACUUAAGCUUUCAACUUUAUUUUGCCUUUGUGGGCCUUUCCUUUAUGACUUGUUGUUUUAAUUUUCUUUAACUUUUGUCUCCUCAAACUUUGGCGCAAUGGCUAGUCGCGUGGGACUUAACCUUUUUCAACUUUGUUUCACCUUUGUAGGCCUUUCAUUUCUGGCUUCUUUCUUCCGACUUCAACUUCAGAGCAUUUGGGGUACCUUGGAUUUUCAAACCUUUGCCGAGAUGGUUAGCCACGUGGAACUCAACCUUUUCAACUUCACGUCGCCCUUAUAGGCACUUCAAUUUGAUUUCUUUCUUUUGAUAACUUUUAAUUUCAAAGCAUCGGCCGCCAUGGCCAGCGAGGUCGACUUGAUGCCACUGACGAGGCUAGGUGCCUUUUUGCACAUGAGCUUGCAUCAAACGAAAGACCUGUAAAUCAGUCUUGACAUCUCUUCUUUGUCUUAGUUUUGGAACAGAGUUAGAUCGAAUGAGAUUAAAAGAAAACAAAUAAGGGAAUGGAGAAUGGGUUUAAACAAGAUGUGUCCCUUUCGGGGAAAGGAAAGAAGGACUUAUCUGGAGUAUAUGCGGAAUUCAAUGAACAUGACAUGCGUUUUGGACUGGAUGCCUGAUCUGUGUAAACCGUCCGACUCUCAGAAAUUCAUCACAACUUUUGCCUCAAAAUCGAGAAACCUUGCCAGGACUCUGUCGAUGCCAAUGACUAUGAGGAUCUUCUUUUCGAUCAGUGGCGCCCUUUGCGGGUUUUCACUAGCUGACCACUCUCAUUUCUCUUAUCACCAUCGCCUUAUAGUGCUUUUUGCGAGUUUUCACUAACAAGACUCUCUCAUUUCUAGUUUCUCUGCUUUCCGUCGCCUCACGGUGCCUAUGUGGGUUUUCACCAAUAAGACUCUCUCAUUUUAUUUCUCUACUUACCAUCGUCUUACGGUGCCCUGUGGGUUUUCACCAAUAAGACUCUCUCAUUUUAUUUCUCUUAUUUUGUUGUAUUAGAUCCAAGUAACAAUAUCCUCCAAUUUUGAACAUCUUUUACCGAUUGAUCGGAAGGACAUGAACAAGAUUUGGGGUAAAAAGAAUUUGGAUUGAAUUACAACUUUGAAACCUUUCAGGCAAAACCAUUACCGAACCAUUAUAACUUCUGCCCCAGUUUUAACUUUUGGUGGAAUUUGGAUUUUUAUUUUGGUUUGACUGAACCCCAGAGAGAGUCUGUCUACAUAUUCUUUCAGAAUCAAGUCGAACGUAGUUCAGGGAACUUUGGUUUUUUUUCUUUCGUUUUUCUCUUUCUUUUCCUUUUUUCAUCAUUUUUUUCCAUUUUCAUUUCAUUUUCUUUUUUCCUUUUNNN
Molecule: long non-coding RNA, 13042 nt
Filed under: Nicotiana tabacum (common tobacco)
Lineage: Eukaryota; Viridiplantae; Streptophyta; Magnoliopsida; Solanales; Solanaceae
Description: long non-coding RNA (NTAB_LNC018381)
Source: RNAcentral